GGAGAGCUGGCCGAGUGGUUUAUGGCAACGGUCUUGAAAACCGUCGUGGGGCGACUCACCGGGGGUUCGAAUCCCUCGCUCUCCGCCA
This 88-nucleotide transfer RNA is filed under the name Holophaga sp. Its description in RNAcentral is "tRNA-Ser". It matches the Rfam family "tRNA". From Rfam's summary of the family: Transfer RNA (tRNA) molecules are approximately 80 nucleotides in length. The record is from RNAcentral. Lineage: Bacteria; Pseudomonadati; Acidobacteriota; Holophagae; Holophagales; Holophagaceae.